GACGAACGCUGGCGGCGUGCUUAACACAUGCAAGUCGAACGGAAAGGCCCUGCUUUUGUGGGGUGCUCGAGUGGCGAACGGGUGAGUAACACGUGAGUAACCUGCCCUUGACUUUGGGAUAACUUCAGGAAACUGGGGCUAAUACCGGAUAGGAGCUCCUGCUGCAUGGUGGGGGUUGGAAAGUUUCGGCGGUUGGGGAUGGACUCGCGGCUUAUCAGCUUGUUGGUGGGGUAGUGGCUUACCAAGGCUUUGACGGGUAGCCUGCCUGAGAGGGUGACCGGCAACAUAGGGACGGAGAUACGGCCCAGACGCAUAAGGGAGGAAGGAGUGGGGAAUAUUGCACAAUGGGCGGAAGCCGGAUGCAGAAACGCCGCGUGCGGGAUGACGGCAUUCGGGUGGUAAACCGCUUUCGACUGUGACGAAGCGUGAGUGACGGUAAUGGGUAAAGAAGCACCGGCUAACUACGG
RNAcentral lists this ribosomal RNA (467 nucleotides) under uncultured bacterium. Its description in RNAcentral is "partial 16S ribosomal RNA". It matches the Rfam family "Bacterial small subunit ribosomal RNA", at positions 28 to 506 of the family's 1533-position model. The record is from RNAcentral.